Molecule: unclassified non-coding RNA, 344 nt
Filed under: soil metagenome
Description: partial contains 5.8S ribosomal RNA, internal transcribed spacer 2, and large subunit ribosomal RNA
Rfam family: 5.8S ribosomal RNA (bases 1-120)
Source: RNAcentral
GAUGAAGAACGUAGCGAAAUGCGACAAGUAAUGUGAAUUGCAGAAUUCAGUGAAUCAUCGAAUCUUUGAACGCACAUUGCGCCCGCCAGUAUUCUGGCGGGCAUGCCUGUUCGAGCGUCAUUUCAACCCUCAAGCCCCCGGGCUUGGUGUUGGGGAUCGGCGUGCCCUCGCGGCGCGCCGUCCCCUAAAUCUAGUGGCGGUCUCGCUGUAGCUUCCUCUGCGUAGUAGCAACACUCGCACUGGAUCGCAGCGCGGCCACGCCGUUAAACCCCCCACUUCUGAAAGUUUGACCUCGGAUCAGGUAGGAAUACCCGCUGAACUUAAGCAUAUCACUAAGCGGAGGA